This 5621-nucleotide long non-coding RNA is filed under the name Solanum tuberosum (potato). RNAcentral's name for it is "long non-coding RNA (STUB_LNC003601)". The record is from RNAcentral. Lineage: Eukaryota; Viridiplantae; Streptophyta; Magnoliopsida; Solanales; Solanaceae.
CGAGAUGAGGAGAAAGGGUCAGGGGAGACAGUGGGUCAGAAUAAUAUAGGUCAUCGGAGUGAAGGGCAGCACAAUGAGGAACCAAAAUUACAAGCAGCACAAAGCACAACAAAUCAGCCAAGCACACCGCAGUCUUCACAGUCUCUGAAAGGAGAACAACAACAACAUGAUAUCUAUUACCAGACCGUACAUCAAAGACCUCAGCCUGAUGAAAUAAGGGAGAAUUCAAUGUUAGAAGGCAAUGACACUAAGAAAGUACCUAAUAAUGAAUUUAGUGAUAUAGGUGUGGGUCGUGCAGGUGUCAGAUCUGGUGAAGAUCUUAAUCACUCAUAUGCUGAAAUUGAAGGUCAUGAGGUAGAGAAAGCUCUUGCGUUGGCUAAAUUCCAAGAACCUCUUCAAAUGAUUGAUGUUGAUGUUGAUGUUGAGCUUGGAAGGGUAGAAAGGUUCCCUCCAAAAUCACCUGAGUUAUUAUUGCUUGAACCAAGUAGUGAGAUUAAUGCAAUUGUUGAAGCUACAGAAAAACAUUUAAUUUUAGAGAAAAAACAGAAUUCUCCUAUGCAGGAUCUACACAAUGUUAUUACUCAUCAGAUUACAGAGGAGGCAGAGGAAGGAGAACUAUCUAGUCAGACAGAAGGUGAUAUUGUGGUGGAUAAGGAAGAAGAAAAUAAUCAGCAUAAUCUUAAUCAGAUGUUAAAAAAUGCUGAUCUAUCCCCUCAGACAAAUACCAAAGGAAGAAAAGGAAAGACUAAGGCUGACUGUAAGCCUACAAGGAUAGUCCCUAAGAGGAGUAGAAAAGCUAACUCUAGGUGAAGAUAAAAGCAUUAUUUUGGAACAUACGGUCUGUUAAAUCUCAACAUUCCUUUCAUAGAGACAUCACAAAUUUUCAUUAAGUGCUUUGAUGGAACCAUUUCAAGCUUCAAGACAUAUACAAUGGUACAAGAGAAAAUUAGGCAUGCCCUAUGCGAAUUACAACCAAAAUGGGAAGAUAUGGGUAUUUGUUCAAGAACAUAUUCAGGUGACGGUCUUGGCAAAUUCAGAGCAACAGUUAACUCUUUAACUAAAGUUUCAAGAUGGACAACAAUUGGUUACUACUAUUGUUUAUGCUAAGUGUGAUGCAAUUGAUAAACUCAAUUUGUGGGAUGAUAUUUAUCUGCUAAGUCAAAAUAUGAGACUUCCAUGGCUUGUUGCUGGUGACUUUAAUGUUAUCAUGAGUGACGAAGAGAAGAUUGGAGGACUUCCUGUCUAUCCAAAUGAGUAUGAAGAUUUUGCUUUUUGUAUUAAUUCAUAUGAGCUAAUUGAUAUUAAUUUUAAAGGAAGUCCUUUUACUUGGUAGAAUGGGAGAGCUGAUGAUGCUUGUAUUUUUAAAAGAUUGGACAGGCUAGUGAUUAAUCAAGCUUGUCUUGGUCUUAUGGGGUGUGUAGAAAUGGAGCACCUAGCUAAAACUGGUUCUGAUCAUUGCCCUUUGUUAUUGUCUUGUGGAGGGCAAAGUGAACAGUUUCUUAGACCUUUCAGGUUUUUGAAAUUUUGGGCAGAAAAAGAUGAUUUCAUGGAUGUGGUCAAACAAAAUUGGAUUGCAGUUGAUUCUGAAGAUAUAUUUAUUAGUUUAAAGCAAAAAAUGAGAAAGACCAAGAUAGAUUUGGCUACAUGGAGUAGGACGAGGUUUGGAGAUAUCUUCAAGCAAUUGAAGAUAAGGGAGGAUAUAGUUAGAAUCAAAGAGGAUCUGUUUGAAGAGCUACCCAUCGAUGAAAAUAGAUCUGUUCUCCAAAAGGCUCAGGCUGAGCUUAAGAAAUAUCUUCACUAUGAAGAAGAGUUUUGGAGGCAAAAAGUUGGAAUUCUGUGGUUUACAGAUGGGGAUAGGAAUACCAAGCUUUUUUUACAGCUUGGUAAACGGGAGAAGGAAGAGGAUGGCAAUUAACAAGAUUCAAAGAAGAAAUGGGACAUGGGCUGAGGGUAAUGAACAAAUAGCACAGGAGGCCAUUGCAUUCUAUCAGGAGCAAUUUACAAGGGGUUCUACUGCUUGUGAGAUGAACUUAAUUGAUCAUAUUCCUUGUUGUAUUACUGAUGAAGACAAUUCAUUGUUGAAGGAGUUACCUACGUACUGAAGUUGAAAUCAAGAAUGUAGUUUUUCAACUCAAUAGGGAUGGUGCAAGCGGUCCGGAUGGGUUCACUGGUCAUUUUUACCAAUCCUGCUGGGAAAUUGUUGGUGGGGAUGUUAUUAAGGUUGUGCAUGCCUUUUUUGGAGGUGCUACUCUUUCAAAACCCAUUACUCAUACUAAUUUGGUCCUAUUGCCAAAAAAAGAAAAUGUGGUAUCUUUUUCUGAUCUGAGACCUAUUAGUUUAAGUAACUUCUUAAAUAAGAUUAUUUCAAGACUUAUCCAUGACAGGCUUGAAGGUUUUCUACCUAAGAUCAUUUCACAGAAUCAAUCUAGAUUUGUGAAAGGAAGAUAUCACUGAGAACGUGUUGUUUGCCCAGGAGAUUAUUACUGAUAUUAGAAAGAGAGGCAAACCUGCAAAUGUGGUAAUCAAACCUGAUAUGGACAAAGCGUAUGAUAGAGUGGACUGGAAUUUUCUAGUCAAGGUUCUGGAGAAGAUGGGGUUUACUAGUUUGAUUAUCGACAAGAUAUGGAGAUUGGUCGCUAAUAAUUGAUACUCUGUAUUAAUUAAUGGACAAGCUCAAGGAUUUUUUUCAUUCAACAAGAGGAGUGAAGCAAGGAGAUCCUCUAUCUCCAGCUCUUUUCAUUUUAACUGCAGAAAUUUUAUCCAGGUCCCUUACCAAUUUAUUCCAUCAUUCUGAUUUCAGGGGAUUUGGGAUGCCUAAGUGGAGUGAAAAUAUCAAUCAUCUUGCUUAUGCAGAUGAUACAAUUAUAUUUGUUGAUGCUGAUAGGAUAUCUUUACAGAUGAUCAUGAAGUUACUCGAUGAUUAUGAGAAGCAGUCUGGACAAAAGAUUAAUAAGGAGAAAAGUGUUUUCUUUGUAUUUAACAAAGUUGCACAUGUUGACAUAGCACUGGUUUUGCUAGAAGAAAAUUUCCUUUGACAUACUUAGGAUGUCCGAUUGGGCAUGCUAGGAAAAGGAAAUCUCACUUCUCAAAGCUAAUGAAGAAAGUACAGAAUAAGUUACAAGCAUGGAAAGGAAAGUUGUUAUCGUUUGGUGGUAAGGCUGUAUUGAUAAAUAAUGUAUUGUAAAGCAUCCCUAUUUAUCAGCUUUCAGCUAUUAUUCCUCCUAAAUGUGUUAUUCAAGAUUUACAUAGAAUCUUUGCUAAAUUUCUAUGGAAUUUCAAAGAGAAUGGAAGAAAUAAACAUUGGAUAUCCUGGCCAGAUAUUUGCUUUCCAAAGAAUGAAGGGGGUUUAGGUUUCAAGUCCUUAUUUGAUGUUGCAAAAGCAUUAUAUGCUAAGUUGUGGUGGAUAUUCAGAACUAAAAAAACUAUGUGGACCAACUUCAUGUGGAAAAAGUAUUGCAAGAGGCAUUGUCCCCAGGUGGUGGAAUGGAGAGGGGGAUCUCAACUGUGGAAGCAUAUGUUACUAGCUCGGGAUGAUAUCGAUCAACAAAUAUGGUGGGAACCAAGAUGUGGUAACUCCAAUAUAUGGUUUGAUAAUUGGACCCAAUUGGGUGCUCUAUAUUAUUAUUUACCUGUGAAUUACUCUAUUAACAUUUAUGAGGAGGAUGUGUCUCAACUAAUGCUUCCGGGAAGGUGGAAUGAGGAUUUAGUACAACAACUAUUUCCAGAUGAGGUAUGCAAUCACAUUAUCAGAAAAAUUGGAGUAGUGGAGGAUUCAGAAGAAUGGGAUAGGUCAAGGUGGAUGUUGCAAAGUUCAGGAAAAUUUUCAAUGAAUAGUGCUUGAAAUUUUCUUAGAAUCCCAGGAACAGUACAAGAGGAGUACAAUUGUAUAUGGGAAAGAGGUAUUCCAUUUAAAGUUUCAUUCUUUAUAUGGAGACUAUGGAAAAAGAGACUUCCUAUUGGAGAGUUUCUGGUUAGAGUUGGGAUUUCAGAUGAUGUGAGAUGUUGUUGUGAUACUCUAUCCCAUGAAACUUUUGGGCAUCUGUUUUUUGUUUGUCCAAUAGCUAUCAGGUUAUGGACUUCUUAUGCAGCAGUAGCAGGGUUGCAGGGUCUUUUUUUAAAUCUCAAGGACACAAUUAUUAAAUGGUGGAAAACUCAAUGUGUUGAUAAGCUCAAGCCACUAUAUAGGGUUGUUCCUGCCUUUAUACUAUGGCAAAUCUGGAAAAGGAGGAACAAUCUUAAACAUGAUUGCCAGAUGUCUGUGUAUUGUAUGGAGAUGGAAAUUAAUAGAAAUAUUCAUUGUCUGGCAAUUAGUAGGUAUCCCUGGUUGAGAAACCUACCUACUACUUGGCCUAAGAUAGUGAAAUUUUUUGAAUCAUAAACACCUAUCAUUGAACAUAAUAUUGUCCAGUGGAAGUUCCCUAAUGAAGGUGUUUAUAAAUGCAAUUCUGAUGGUGCUUUGAAAGGGAACCCAGGGCCUAGUGCAUGUGCUUUUUGCAUUAGGAAUAAUAGAGGAGAGUUCGUCUAUGCUGAAUCUAAAGGACUGGGAAUUAUGUCUAGUUUGGAGGCUAAGACUAUUGCAUUGAGAAAUGCGUUGGAAUACUGCAUUUUGCAUGAUUUGUUGCCCGUGAUUUUAGAAACAGAUUCUCUUAUUUUGAAGAAGAUACUUGAUGGAAUUUGGGAUGUACCUUGGUACAUUGUCAUGGAAGUGAAAAAGAUUAAUAGUUUGAAGGAUAGAAAGGAAGUGGAAAUUGAGCAUACAUUCAGGGAAGUCAACAUGGUAGCAAACUAUUUUACUAAUCAAUUUUUCUGUUUUGUAGAUAUAUCGGGCAUGACGUAUGGUUCAUUAUUAGACGUUUCAAAUGAAGGGAGAGCACUACUACACAUGGAUAGAAAUCAAAUUCCUAAUCUCAGGCUGACAAAAUGUCAAAAUAGGAAUUUCAUGGUGUAAGCAGCAGGGUACAACACGCAGAUAUAAAGCAAGGCAAUACAUAAACAUGGGAUAUAAGGGCACAAAAAAAUCUUUGAAGUAAAAGAUAGAUAUAUUCUUACCUGAAUGUUCCUACAAGCUAUGUUGAGUUAGAAAUAGACUGGCCAUUUCUUGAUCUCAAGUAGUGGUUAUUAGCUCAACCUGCUGUGAAAUAGAAAUGUCAAGAAAGUUUCAGCUCAAUAUUGUUUAUUAUGGUUCAAGAGAAUGGAGGUGGUUUCUUAUCUUUGUGUGGAUGGCCAUGAAUAGCAUGGUAGAGUUGAAUAUGUCUUCUAUUAGAAUAAAUUACAUGGCAUUCGUGAGACUUGUGAAUGUUGAAGGUGAAAUUUAUCCAAACUCUACCCUCUCAUAUCUUGGUUCUAUAAAUACAAGAAUAAGCAAGGACUACUCAUUCACGCUAGUUUAUGGAGGUGAGGUGUAGAUGAUGAAGAGACAAAGUUUAUUGGUCGGAAACACAAAAUUUCGUUUCUGGGUUGACGAACAAGCAACAAUCGAGGAUAAAAAAGUGUUUCAUAGAUAAAUUCAUUGAUUUCAUAGCUAAUUAAAGGAAGGCUUACCUUCAACAUCAACAGGGAUUACUUCCGGCGUCGAACCUACAGUGACUGUUGGGUUUCCGUCUUCAAUUUUCCCCCUUUCC